GGCGCCCAGGGCUCCGCGCAGGCGGCCCCGGAGCAGCACCGUGCACCUCGGUCGGCGGGAGGCGGUAGCGCCCCCUCUUAAGAGUGCAGGUUGGUCCCGCCAGGGCUCCCUCGGAGUCGGUCUGUCUGUCGGGUCCACCCUCAGCUUCGCUCCCUCCUCUCCGCUUUUGUGUUGCUCCCGGGGUGCCGGGCACAGCCUCGGAUUCCUCCCUCCUGGCAGCUCGAGUCAGUUCUCGCGGCGGUGGCCGGCAAGGCGGCGGCGACGGCUCGGGGACUAUCUCGGCUAUCACCGCGCUUCUCUGGCUGGAGCGGGCGUCCAGCUUGGCUGUCCUUCGGCCCCUCCCUGCCGUGCCUCGGGGCGCCCUGCGGCCCCCCUCCCCCCUCGCUGCUCUCCAAGUGGGCGGGGCGCCUAGAAGGAUCCUGCCUCCCCUCCACCUGGAUCUUAGGGCUCCGCGCCCCGGAGCCAGGCGCUCUCCGCGUCUCCUGCCCCGCCAACCCCGACCGCCAGGGGGUGCCACAGGGGCGGAGUGCCGCGGAGACCAGGCAAAGGGGACCAUGCGGCGCCUGACACGCCGCUUGGCGCUGCCGAUCGUCGGCGUGCUCUGGAUCACCGUGCUGCUGUUCUUCUGGGUAACCAAGAAGAAGUUAGAUGUGCCGCCGGGACCUGAAGUGCAGACCCCCAAGAUCUCAGAAGCUGACUGGGAUGACGUGUGGGACCGGUUUGAUGAGCGGCCAUAUCUAAAUGCCAAGAAGUGGCGCGUUGGUGAUGAUCCCUAUAAGCUGUAUGCUUUCAACCAGCGGGAAAGCGAGCGGAUCGCCAGCAAUCGGGUUGUCCCGGACACUCGCCACUCAAGAUGCACCCUGCUGGUGUACUGCAAGGACCUGCCCCCCACCAGCAUCAUCAUCACCUUCCACAAUGAGGCCCGCUCCACACUGCUCAGGACCGUCCGCAGUGUAUUGAACCGCACCCCUUUGAAUCUGAUCCAGGAAAUCAUCUUAGUGGACGACUUCAGCAAUGACCCUGAUGACUGCAAACAGCUCAUCCGGUUACCCAAGGUGAAAUGCUUACGCAAUAACCAACGGCAAGGGCUGGUCCGGUCCCGGAUCCGGGGUGCUGAUGUUGCCCAGGGCUCCACUCUGACGUUCCUCGACAGCCACUGUGAGGUGAACAGGGACUGGCUCCAGCCCCUGCUGCACAGAGUCAAAGAGGAUUACACUCGGGUGGUGUGCCCUGUGAUUGACAUCAUCAACCUGGACAAUUUCAACUACAUCGAGUCAGCCACAGAGCUCAGAGGGGGGUUUGACUGGAGCCUUCACUUCCAGUGGGAGCAGCUCUCUGCAGAGCAGAAGGCUCGGCGCCUGGACCCCACUGAGCCCAUCAGGACUCCGAUCAUAGCUGGAGGGCUCUUCGUGAUGGACAAAUCCUGGUUCAAUUACCUGGGGAAAUAUGAUAUGGACAUGGACAUCUGGGGUGGGGAGAACUUUGAAAUCUCCUUCAGAGUGUGGAUGUGUGGGGGCAGCCUAGAGAUUGUCCCCUGCAGCCGAGUGGGCCAUGUCUUCCGGAAAAAGCACCCGUACAUUUUCCCGGAUGGAAACGCCAACACAUACAUAAAGAACACCAAGCGGACAGCUGAAGUGUGGAUGGAUGAAUACAAGCAAUACUAUUAUGCUGCCCGGCCAUUCGCCCUGGAGAGGCCCUUUGGAAAUGUUUUUAAAGGAAGACGAGGAAUGGAAACAAACUCUCCUGCCGUCCAGCAUUGCUCAUCACCUACACCCCCGUCUUCUGUCCCUUCAGAGCCAAGCUUCAUGAAACAACUGCUUGCACUUGCUGUCUGUGGCUCCUUGUUCUCCUCUCCUCACUGUGAUCUGAGGCCUUGCCCUGCCCCCUGGGGUCGCUCCCGCCUGCUGCGAUCACUCCCACCUGGCCCACCCUGGCUCCCUGGUCCCCUUUGCGUGGCAUCCUCUCUAUUACUCCAGCCCUCAGAUGCACCUCUGAUCUCUGCCUUUCCGUAACUGUAGUCUUGGCUCUUGUCCUGCUGCUCAGGCUCUACCUUCUUGGUCCCACUGGCAGCCUCAGCUUCCUCUUUCCACCCUUACUUGUUGGUCUUCCCAAAGGGUCUUCCCUCUUCGUACUGUACAUCAUCCCUGGCAUCCACCACUUCUGAGCUACUGGUACUCAGACCUCUGUAGACUCUAAGCAACCUGGGGACAGACCUGGUGAUGCCAUGCUUUUGGUCUGAGGACUUUAACUCAAGGAGAAAGUUCUAGAGGAUGGUUCCCAAAUUAGCUUGCACAUCACAAUAAUCUGGGGGAGCUUCAAAAAACUCUACUCCACCCCAGUAGAGUAACAGUCUGGGGUGUGGCUUGGGCUGUAGAAUUAACCUGGACCUCUCCUCUGAGCUCCAGGGCCUUAAUGUCCAAGUAGCAGCUGGACAUCUCCACCUGGAUGUCUCCCAGGCUCCCCAACACAAGUCCUAAACUGAACUCACCCACUUUGCUCCUGAACUUGUUCCUCAUCCUGUAUCCCCCAUCUCAGUGAACGUUCUUCCUUGCAUUCUGGUGUCCUAGUCAGAAAUCCAGGUGUCAACCUUGACUCCUCCCUCUGAUCUCCUCCCACGUCCAAACAGCCACCACGUCCAGUAAUCCUGCCUCAUUCCCGCACUAAGCACCCAGGUCCUGGCUAAGCAUUCAGCAAUUUUUUUAAAAAGUCAUUUCUGUCCCCAUGUUGCUUAGAGUCUGCUGAGGCAGUGUGGUUAGUGCUGUACGAGAAGCCCUGGGGCCCUGAGAACACCUGGUCCAGUCGGAUGGAAGGAGGUGCGACUGGCCAGAGCAGGGACCAUUCUGUGGUCACCAGGGAAGACAGGGUGUAAAUGGAGCUCAGGUGGGCACUGAUGGUGCAGAUGGUGAGAAGAGGAGGGACUUGACCCUGUCACAUCUCUCCAUCCCCACCCCCUAAAAGCGUGACCACCUGGGUUUCUGCAGCCACCCCUCUACUGCUCUCCAUGUCUCCAGCUUUGCCCCAGCAGAGCCAUUCGCCAUCUGUACAAUGCUCGGAAGUGCAAGCCUCACCACGUCAUGCUCUGCUUAGAACCCAUCAAUUGCUUCUCAUUGCCCUCAGCCCAAACUCCUCCACAGUGCCUCCCAAGACCCUUUAUAGUCUGUCUCCAUCUCACAUCCCACUCAUUUCCCUGCUUCCUCCCCUGUGUACAUACAUUCAUACACUCAUAGAACCUUCAGUGCUGCUCCUGCCAACAGAAUUCUCACUUCUUCCCAUGCACCGUCUCUCUUUGCUGUUCCCCUGCCUCUACCCCAGGGCCCUCACCUCACACACUUUCAGGUUUGUCUAGAUGAGGUCCACUUUUCCUUCCAGAUAACAGCUUCAGCAUCACCACCACCUUGACCACCAUCGACUGGACAAGCAAGGGUACACUUCUGAGGUGCUCCCACAGCCCGCGAGUGCCCACCCCACGUCCACGUGGGGUUGUGAUCACUUGUUUCAUUUCCAUUCUCUGUUGCUGGAAAGCUCGCCUAUCCCCCAUUGGCAUCGAGAGCAGAUUGGACUUGCGGAGGAAUCUCCAGUGCCAGAGUUUCAGGUGGUACCUGGAGAACGUCUAUCCUGAAC
This is a non-coding RNA of Manis javanica (Malayan pangolin), 3621 nucleotides long. Lineage: Eukaryota; Metazoa; Chordata; Mammalia; Pholidota; Manidae. The record is from RefSeq and is a predicted model, not a curated record.